AGCUGGGCAGCCUCUGGGGGUCCUGUCCCCCACCCCUGCCUCCAGGUGGAGAGGUCAUCUGCCUAGGAGGAACUGGACCAGACCCUGCAGGUGCCUGGCCCUCUCUGCCUAUUUCUGUAACUUCGAGAAAUGAGGACAUUAGACCAGACGGUUUCCUGGGCCCCUGGGAUCCCCGAGCUCCGCGAUGUUGUACAUUUUUAUCGAGCUCAUCUUGAGUGCCAGGUACUUUUUCUGCAGUCACAGCCUCCUGCAAGAGGGUAUUACUGCACCCAUCCAGCACAAGGCUGUGAGCCCUCCUUCAGAUGAUGUCGCUUUGCACAGGCGUAUGACCGGAACUUCGUUCCCAGACCGACCAGGAUUUAGGAAAGGCCACGUGGCCGUUUCUCGCAUUGGAGUCGAGCAGAAAUGAGGAUGCAGCAUCCUUCUGCCCUACAAAGGGAUGAAGUUCUGAUCACGCAAUGAUGUAGACAGACCUUGAGAACAUUAAGCAAGGGAAAGAAGCCAGACACAGGAGGACAGAUCCUGCACAACUCCACUUUUAUGAAAUAUCCAGAACAGGUAAAUCAUCAAGACAGAAAGCAGGUGGUGGUGGCUGGCGGGAAGGAGAGUUGGGGGGUCUGGGGUUUCAUCAGAGAGAUGAAAAAGUUCUGGAGCUGGAUAGUGACAAUGGUUUUACAACAUCGUGAGUGUAUUUAAUAUGCUGAAUUGUACACUUGGUUGAGAUGGUAA
This is a long non-coding RNA of Odocoileus virginianus texanus, 729 nucleotides long. RefSeq lists it as uncharacterized. The record is from RefSeq and is a predicted model, not a curated record. NCBI's taxonomy places the organism in Eukaryota, Metazoa, Chordata, Mammalia, Artiodactyla, Cervidae.